RNAcentral lists this long non-coding RNA (2197 nucleotides) under Piliocolobus tephrosceles (Ugandan red Colobus). RNAcentral's name for it is "lncRNA (ENSPTEG00000002672.1)". The record is from RNAcentral. Lineage: Eukaryota; Metazoa; Chordata; Mammalia; Primates; Cercopithecidae.
AUUUUAAAUUUGAUCUAAAUACAAUACGUUCUAACAAAAAAAAAACGAGUAUACUUUAAAUUCUUCUGAUUAUUCAUCUUUGGAUGUUUCAUCUGAUGAUAAUGUUGUUUAUGUGGAUGAUACUUCAUACAAUUCUGUCUGUACAGAUAGUGUUGAUAAUAUGUACGAUGAAAGUAUAACCGACAGAGAUAAUGCAAUUUCGUUCGAUGAUGAUAUACCUACAAAAUCAAAAAAAAACUCUUGCAAAAAAAAAAAAUCAAGAAAUGAUUUUGUAUCAAAUAGAAAUAUAUCAAAAAAAAAAAAAACGGUUUCUUUUAAAUUUAACCCCUCCAACCAAUAUAUAAAAUCAAACGAAGAUAAUUUUUGUUCAAAUUUUAAAUCAAAGAAAAAAAUCUACGAUUCAAAAAAUGAUGGUCUAAGUAAACACAUUUUUUUAAAUGGUCCUGAAGAUGCAAUACUAAAAGAAGAUAUUUCCAAAAUGGAAAACGAUUUAUCAAAACUGAAUGAAAGUGAUGGUUUUUCCUUAAGUCAGCAGUCCAUAAAUUACAAUAGUGAUAACAAUAAAAAUAAAAAUGGUAACAAUAAGAACUUCAACGACAGUUGCAAUAAUAACCAGGUAUAUCAACGAUAUAUCUCAGAUAGUAAAUCAUUCAUAAAACAAAAAACAGAAGAUAGUGACACAACAUAUGUACCAGAUAUGUUCUAUGAAUUUAAUGACAAUCUAUCUAUAAAUUAUAAUGAAGAUGUUUUUACAUUUAGAGCCCCAAAUGCCAAGUGUUUUAAAUUAAGGCAAUUGUUUUCAUGUUCUAAAGUUAUUAGAUUUUUUUUCAAAAAAUUAAAAUCAUGUGAUAAUAAAAUAAAAUACAUAACAAUGGAUUCGUAUAAGUACAAUGAAGUAAUAAAUACUGCCACUGGGAGACACAGUGGUUAUCGUAAUAAAUUAAAAUAUGCUUCAAAAAUUAAAAAAUUUAAUGAAUGGUAUAAUAUAUGGGUGAAAGAUCUUUUAUUUGAUUACUACACAAAAACAGGUAUAUUAAUUUUAUUAUUACUAAUUUUAAAUAUAUUAAAUAUAUUUUUACAAACAAUAUCAUUUUAUUUUUUAUUAAAAAAAGCAGAUUUGACCAAUAUAAUACCAAUUGAAUCUAAUAAAACUAUAACAAAACCAAUAAUGAAUGAAAACUAUGACAUUAACCAUAUGAUUAAUUUCACAAACCUAUGUUACUACAUAGCUUUAAGAAUACCUAUGCAACUUAUUUUAAAUGUAUUAUUGGUACUACCAUCUAUAAUAAUUAAAAAAAGUAAAUAUUUACAUUUAUUUAAUAUAUGUAGUAUUUUAAAUUGUUUAGUAAACAUUAUUUUUGGUAAUAUAGACAUUUAUUACUCCUUGAAUCCAAAAAUAUUUUACAGAAGUAACGUAGAUAAGGUAUUAUUUUAUUACAACAUGUUAGACAUAUUUUACAUUGGAAAAAUAUGUACAAGUAUAUUUAUAAUCCCAUUUAUUACUAACUUUAGUGAUAUGAAAACGUUUAUAUUAGUAUGUUUAAGUUUUAUGAGUUAUACAAUAGUAGGAUAUGAUCAAAUCCAUGUCACUUCGUCUAAAGUUCAUUUUAUUCUGAAUACAUUAAUUAUUUGCAUUGUCAUUAUUUCUAUAUUAACCUUCAAAUACUCAAAGUUGUUGAUACAAUUAAGAAAACUUUUAUUUAUCAAAUACGUUUUACCUUACUAUACGUAUUUAACAUUAAUUAAAGAAAGUCCCGUCAUAAAAAUGGAAAUUAACAAAAACCGUAGUCUAUCACAUACAAACAGCGAUGAUAGCUAGAUUUAAAAUUUUAUAUGUUACAUUUGUAACCACACUAAAUGAAUUAACAAGCUCACAUAAGAAAAUAUAUUUGUUUUUACGAUUUUUUUUUAAUGUACAUAUUUGACACGAUUUGUUAACAUAUACAUGUGAUGAUGCAUUUUGGCAUUUGCUAUUUGUUAUUUGUUCUUAUUUGCUGUUUGUUCUUAUUUGCUGUUUGUUCUUAUUUGCUGUUUGCUCUUAUUUGCUAUUUACUCUUAUUUGCUAUUUGUUUGUUAAUUAUUUCCAUGAUUUCUUAUUUUUUAUUCGCUCUUAUUUGUUCUAAUGUACUCUUACUUGCUGCUAUGUACUCUUAUUUGUUAUAUUUUUUUAUCCGUCUCCAUUAUUAUUUGUUUUCUU